This 369-nucleotide ribosomal RNA is filed under the name uncultured eukaryote. RNAcentral describes it as "partial 18S ribosomal RNA". It matches the Rfam family "Eukaryotic small subunit ribosomal RNA", at positions 592 to 975 of the family's 1831-position model. The record is from RNAcentral.
CAAUAGCGUAUAUUAAAGUUGUUGCAGUUAAAAAGCUCGUAGUUGGAUUUCUGGUCGGAAGCUCCUGUCCUCUGAUGAGCGUACAAGUGCGUCCUACCAUCCUUCUGUUAACCUUUAAGGCUUUCGCGGCUUUCUAGGGGCUCAGAUAUUUUACCUUGAGAAAAUUAGAGUGUUUCAGGCAGGCUAGCGCCGGAAUACAUUAGCAUGGAAUAAUGGAAUAGGACUUUUGCCUCUUCUGUUGGUCAUGAGGCUCGAGUAAUGAUUAAUAGGGAUAGUUGGGGGCAUUAGUACCUAACUGUCAGAGGUGAAAUUCUCGGAUUUGUUAAAGACUAACUUAUGCGAAAGCAUUUGCCAAGGAUGUUUUCAUUA